AUAUAAAUUACCUGGGAAUCUUGUUAAACUGCAGGUCCUAGUUGAGUGGGCCUGGGUAGUUGGUGGUAAGAGUCUGCAUUUCUAACAAGUCCUUAAGUGACACCCAC
RNAcentral lists this microRNA precursor (107 nucleotides) under Marmota monax (woodchuck). The record is from RNAcentral. Lineage: Eukaryota; Metazoa; Chordata; Mammalia; Rodentia; Sciuridae.